RNAcentral lists this ribosomal RNA (413 nucleotides) under uncultured bacterium. RNAcentral's name for it is "bacterial SSU rRNA". It matches the Rfam family "Bacterial small subunit ribosomal RNA", at positions 505 to 916 of the family's 1533-position model. The record is from RNAcentral.
GUGUCAGCAGCCGCGGUAAUACGUAGGGGGCGAGCGUUGUCCGGAAUGAUUGGGCGUAAAGGGCGCGUAGGCGGCCGUGCAAGUCUGAAGUGGAAGUCCAUUUUUCAAGGGUGGAAUUGCUUUGGAAACUGCGCGGCUGGAGUGCAGGAGAGGUUAUCGGAAUUCCCGGUGUAGCGGUGAAAUGCGUAGAGAUCGGGAGGAACACCAGUGGCGAAGGCGGGUAACUGGACUGCAACUGACGCUGAGGCGCGAAAGUGUGGGGAGCAAACAGGAUUAGAUACCCUGGUAGUCCACACUGUAAACGAUGAAUGCUAGGUGUAGGAGGUAUCGACCCCUUCUGUGCCGCAGUAAACACAGUAAGCAUUCCGCCUGGGGAGUACGGUCGCAAGAUUAAAACUCAAAUAAAUUGACGG